This 377-nucleotide ribosomal RNA is filed under the name uncultured bacterium. RNAcentral describes it as "bacterial SSU rRNA". It matches the Rfam family "Bacterial small subunit ribosomal RNA", at positions 521 to 896 of the family's 1533-position model. The record is from RNAcentral.
UAAUACGUAGGUGGCGAGCGUUGUCCGGAUUUACUGGGUGUAAAGGGCGUGUAGGCGGGAUUGCAAGUCAGAUGUGAAAUUCCGAGGCUUAACCUCGGCGCUGCAUCUGAAACUGUGAUUCUUGAGUGCUGGAGAGGAUAGUGGAAUUCCUAGUGUAGCGGUGAAAUGCGUAGAUAUUAGGAGGAACACCAGUGGCGAAGGCGGCUAUCUGGACAGUAACUGACGCUGAGGCGCGAAAGCGUGGGGAGCAAACAGGAUUAGAUACCCUGGUAGUCCACGCCGUAAACGAUGGAUACUAGGUGUAGGAGGUAUCGACCCCUUCUGUGCCGCAGUUAACACAAUAAGUAUCCCACCUGGGGAGUACGGCCGCAAGGUUG